This 1083-nucleotide ribosomal RNA is filed under the name uncultured bacterium. RNAcentral's name for it is "bacterial SSU rRNA". It matches the Rfam family "Bacterial small subunit ribosomal RNA", at positions 26 to 1092 of the family's 1533-position model. The record is from RNAcentral.
GGAAAAAGGGGGGGCGGCUACACAUGCAAGUCGAGCGGAAACGAGUUAACUGAACCUUCGGGGAACGUUAACGGCGUCGAGCGGCGGACGGGUGAGUAAUGCCUGGGAAAUUGCCCUGAUGUGGGGGAUAACCAUUGGAAACGAUGGCUAAUACCGCAUGAUAGCUUCGGCUCAAAGAGGGGGACCUUCGGGCCUCUCGCGUCAGGAUAUGCCCAGGUGGGAUUAGCUAGUUGGUGAGGUAAUGGCUCACCAAGGCGACGAUCCCUAGCUGGUCUGAGAGGAUGAUCAGCCACACUGGAACUGAGACACGGUCCAGACUCCUACGGGAGGCAGCAGUGGGGAAUAUUGCACAAUGGGCGCAAGCCUGAUGCAGCCAUGCCGCGUGUAUGAAGAAGGCCUUCGGGUUGUAAAGUACUUUCAGCAGUGAGGAAGGUGGGUAUGUUAAUAGCAUAUUCAUUUGACGUUAGCUGCAGAAGAAGCACCGGCUAACUCCGUGCCAGCAGCCGCGGUAAUACGGAGGGUGCGAGCGUUAAUCGGAAUUACUGGGCGUAAAGCGCAUGCAGGUGGUUUGUUAAGUCAGAUGUGAAAGCCCGGGGCUCAACCUCGGAAUUGCAUUUGAAACUGGCAAACUAGAGUACUGUAGAGGGGGGUAGAAUUUCAGGUGUAGCGGUGAAAUGCGUAGAGGUCUGAAGGAAUACCGGUGGCGAAGGCGGCCCCCUGGACAGAUACUGACACUCAGAUGCGAAAGCGUGGGGAGCAAACAGGAUUAGAUACCCUGGUAGUCCACGCCGUAAACGAUGUCUACUUGGAGGUUGUGGCCUUGAGCCGUGGCUUUCGGAGCUAACGCGUUAAGUAGACCGCCUGGGGAGUACGGUCGCAAGAUUAAAACUCAAAUGAAUUGACGGGGGCCCGCACAAGCGGUGGAGCAUGUGGUUUAAUUCGAUGCAACGCGAAAGAACCUUACCUACUCUUGACAUCUACAGAAGCCAGCGGAGACGCAGGUGUGCCUUCGGGAACUGUAAGACAGGUGCUGCAUGGCUGUCGUCAGCUCGUGUUGUGGAAUGUUGGGGUUAAGUCCCGCAA